This 89-nucleotide microRNA precursor is filed under the name Chlorocebus sabaeus (green monkey). Its description in RNAcentral is "miRNA (ENSCSAG00000027071.1)". The record is from RNAcentral. Lineage: Eukaryota; Metazoa; Chordata; Mammalia; Primates; Cercopithecidae.
GAAAUAUAGGUUGGUGCAAAAGUAAUUGUGGUUUUUGCCUUAAAAGUAAUGGCAAAAACACAACCGCUUUUGCACCAACCUAUAGUAAA